CCUGAGCCCAUACUAAAAUGUGAAGGUGUCAGACUGAUUGGUCAGAGAGCGUCGUCACUGGAAGAGUCAUGAGCGUGUCACAAGAAUCCGACCGAACAAUGCCCAACUGUAGAUCAGCUACAAAUACUUCAAAAUACUAAAAACAUGCGUUUUAUCUCCAAAGUUUAUCUAAAAAUAUUUAACAGAGGAGUCUGGUGUAUUUGGCGACAGCACUGCUGAAAGCCGGCGAUCGUGAGCCCAAUCACAACCUGUUGAGUUGAGCUGUGGGCCACGCCCCUCCAGCCUGGAUACACCAGGUGAAGUGAUUUACUAAUCAAGUGAGUUUGGAGUCACGCACACACAGAAUCACUACAGAGCAGCAGUGGAAGCAAGCAGCAUGAGGAGGAAUGAGAUCCGGUGGAUUGGACUGAAACACCAACUGUGCAAAUCAAAGCUUUCAAGGAAGACACAGCCGGUUUUUCACCUGGCUGUAAAUACUGCAUCAAUCUUCUAAAUAAAAGAAAGAAGAAAAAGAGAGCAAGUGUUACGAGUGGAUUCCUGUUAAGUCUUCCUGAAAAAUUAGCAGCCCUUUCAAGUGGGGAGAUUUGCACACUAAAGCCUUUCCACAGUGAGGGACUUGACACAACCCGUUCACAACCCAGUCUGUCAUGCAGGAAGUACUGAACCAUUCUGUGGACAAACCGAUUCUAAUGGUUCAGUUACACCGUAAACACUAGUUUCCUGCAGCUGUGCUAUGAUGACUCCGCCCACGUUGAGGAGGAACUGUGGGGAAAAAAAAGGUGUCUGAUACCAACCCGAGAAGAAUCGCUCUAGAGCUGCAUAGCAUCCCUUAAAGUGCCAUCAUUUGAAGUCAACACACAAGUUAAUAGAAAACAAGCUACUUUUUGCAUAAUUGUAAAUGUUUGCGUGGAGUAUUUUUCUAAUAAUAGUAAUAAUAUUUUGAAUGUGGGCAGAGAUUUCCAUGAAAUGUUGUAUCAUGUAUAUGAAUUUCCCGCAUACCUUGUGUGAUCAGUGUGACAGGUGAGUCUGCUUCCUUGUUUUUAAAGUGUGCUUGUGUGAGUUAUUGGCACAGAGUGCAGGAUGUUGGCACCUGCUCUUAGUGAUAGCGUGGCUGCCAGCAGGGACAAGGGAAAAACUGGUUCACCUAAUAAAUUCCACCCCUGUUUGAGUCUAACUA
Long non-coding RNA from Solea solea (common sole), 1177 nucleotides. RefSeq lists it as uncharacterized. Lineage: Eukaryota; Metazoa; Chordata; Actinopteri; Pleuronectiformes; Soleidae. The transcript is spliced from 2 exons. The record is from RefSeq and is a predicted model, not a curated record.